This 377-nucleotide ribosomal RNA is filed under the name uncultured Phycisphaerae bacterium. RNAcentral describes it as "bacterial SSU rRNA". It matches the Rfam family "Bacterial small subunit ribosomal RNA", at positions 521 to 896 of the family's 1533-position model. Lineage: Bacteria; Pseudomonadati; Planctomycetota; Phycisphaerae. The record is from RNAcentral.
UAAGACGAAGGUGACGAGCGUUGUUCGGUAUUACUGGGCUUAAAGCGUGUGUAGGCGGAAUUGUAAGCGUCAGGUGAAAUCCCCCGGCUUAACCGGGGAACUGCUUGACGAACUGCUUUUCUUGAGGCAAGUAGGGGUGCACGGAACUCUUGGUGGAGCGGUGAAAUGCGUAGAUAUCAAGAGGAACGCCGGUGGAGAAAUCGGUGCACUGGGCUUGUCCUGACGCUGAGACACGAAAGCGUGGGGAGCGAACGGGAUUAGAUACCCCGGUAGUCCACGCCGUAAACGAUGUCUACUAGGUUGUGGAAGUUCUGACACUUGCACGGCCGAAGCAAAAGUGCUAAGUAGACCGCCUGGGGAGUACGGCCGCAAGGCUA